AUAAAGUUUUAUUUUGGCUUAUAAAUUUAUUAUUAAUUUAAUUUAUAUGUAAAUUUUUGUGUGAAUUUUUUAUUAUUUUAAAAAUGAUAAAAUUUUAUUUAAUCGCAGUAAUUAAUUUUAUUAAUUAAGGAAACUUAGAAAUAGUAAUAUUAAAGAGUAUUGACAAAAUUUGUGCCAGCAGUUGCGGUUAUACGAAUAAUGCAAAUAAAUUUUUAUUAGUAAAAGUUAAAUUGAAAUAAAAUAAUUUUAUAUGUAAAUUUAUUAGGUGAAAUUUUAAAUUUAUUUAAAUUUUAUUUUUAAUAAUUGAAGCUUGUAAAUUUUAGUAGUAAACUAGGAUUAGAUACCCUAUUAUUUAAAAUGUAAAUAUUUAAUACUAAGGUAGUAAUAGUUAUGAUCUUGAAACUUAAAAAAUUUGGCGGUAUUUUAGUCUAUUCAGAGGAACCUGUUCUGUAAUCGAUAUUCCACGUUGGACCUAACUUAGAUUUGUAUUCAGUUUAUAUACCGUCGUUAUUAGAAUAUUUUAUAAGAAUGAUAAUUUUCAAGGUUUAUUAUUAUAAAAAAUAUCAGAUCAAGGUGUAGCUUAUAUUUAAGUAGAAAUGGGUUACAAUAAAAUUAUUUAGAUGGAUAUAAAUUUGAAAUUUUUUAUUGAAAGUGGAUUUGAUAGUAAAAUUAUAAAGAUAAAUAAUUUGAUUUUAGCUCUAAAAUAUGUACACAUCGCCCGUCACUCUUAUUAUUAAGGUAAGAUAAGUCGUAACAUAGUAGAUGUACUGGAAAGUGUAUCUAGAAUG
This 788-nucleotide non-coding RNA is filed under the name Dermatobia hominis (human botfly). Lineage: Eukaryota; Metazoa; Arthropoda; Insecta; Diptera; Oestridae. The record is from RNAcentral.